Long non-coding RNA from Dermacentor silvarum, 304 nucleotides. RefSeq lists it as uncharacterized. Lineage: Eukaryota; Metazoa; Arthropoda; Arachnida; Ixodida; Ixodidae. The transcript has 3 exons. The record is from RefSeq and is a predicted model, not a curated record.
UGUGCCGGACGAGGAAGAAGCCAAGUCGCCAGUAGGCGUACUUUUCGUUUUCAAUAUGUACAGGAGCUUGAGGACUCUAAUCGUAUCCAAGACGGUGGCUCUAUGCGAUAUACCGAAGCUCAGUAAAAGCAUGAUCUGCACGCCUGCUAUUAAAGACGCCUUCAGCUGGUCAGUAAAAGGGGGACGCGCCGAGACGGAGAGCAAUUUCGUCCAUUCGCUCUGCCGGGCAGUGUGGCUGGACGCCUACUGGGUGAUGAUCACUCAUCUGGGCUACUACGCAUGCCUCACGGCAAGGACCGUCGUU